UACAGAGGGGGCGAGCGUUAAUCGGAAUUACUGGGCGUAAAGCGUGCGUAGACGGUCAUGUAAGUCGGGUGUGAAAUCCCCGAGCUCAACCUGGGAACUGCAUUCGAGACUGCUUGGCUAGAGUGCGGAAGAGGGAAGCGGAAUUUCCGGUGUAGCGGUGAAAUGCGUAGAUAUCGUAAGGAACAUCAGUGGCGAAAGCGGCUUCCUGGUCCAGCACCGACGUUCAGGCACGAAAGCGUGGGGAGCAAACAGG
This 253-nucleotide ribosomal RNA is filed under the name uncultured bacterium. RNAcentral describes it as "partial 16S ribosomal RNA". It matches the Rfam family "Bacterial small subunit ribosomal RNA", at positions 524 to 776 of the family's 1533-position model. The record is from RNAcentral.